GCCAGACUCCUACGGGAGGCAGCAGUGGGGAAUAUUGCACAAUGGGGGAAACCCUGAUGCAGCGACGCCGCGUGAGUGAAGAAGUAUUUCGGUAUGUAAAGCUCUAUCAGCAGGGAAGAAAAUGACGGUACCUGACUAAGAAGCCCCGGCUAACUACGUGCCAGCAGCCGCGGUAAUACGUAGGGGGCAAGCGUUAUCCGGAUUUACUGGGUGUAAAGGGAGCGUAGACGGCAUGGCAAGUCUGAAGUGAAAGGCCGGGGCUCAACCGCGGGACUGCUUUGGAAACUGUUAGGCUGGAGUGCAGGAGAGGUAAGUGGAAUUCCUGGUGUAGCGGUGAAAUGCGUAGAUAUUAGGAGGAACACCAGUGGCGAAGGCGGCUUACUGGACUGUAACUGACGUUGAGGCUCGAAAGCGUGGGGAGCGAACAGGAUUAGAUACCCGCGUAGC
RNAcentral lists this ribosomal RNA (447 nucleotides) under uncultured bacterium. RNAcentral's name for it is "bacterial SSU rRNA". It matches the Rfam family "Bacterial small subunit ribosomal RNA", at positions 330 to 794 of the family's 1533-position model. The record is from RNAcentral.